Molecule: long non-coding RNA, 697 nt
Organism: Colias croceus (clouded yellow)
Lineage: Eukaryota; Metazoa; Arthropoda; Insecta; Lepidoptera; Pieridae
Exons: 2
Source: RefSeq, a predicted model, not a curated record
GGCAAUUUCGUUAAAAUAUGUCCACACUGAUUUUCGAGUGUCCUAUGGGUUGUCAUUUAUAUUUCAUCAAAACUAACAACAUUUUAUAUCAGGAAGUGGAUUUUAUUACAUUGCUAUUAUAAUUUCUUUAUAAGACACAAACAAACAGCUUGCCAAUCCAUUUAUUAUUAAAGAUAUGAAGAAAAUUUAAUUUUGAGGCACCCAAUUUUGACGUGUCCCACAGCAACCAGUCUGUAUAAAUGUUCAUUUUAUUUACCAAUGUGAAGCAGUAUUAUUCAAGUAAAGGUAUAAAUAAAUCACAAAGGGUGAGAGCUAUGAUUAUAAAACGUUAAAUUUACGUCCUUUUAUAGUAAUUAUUAGUAUUUUUAUCAAUUAAAUCGUGUCCUACGAUUUCGACCAUGUGCGGAAUUCCGUUUUGUAACCGUUAUAUACUCUAAAAUAAAGAUAAAAACUACUAAAUAUGUAUUUUUUUCACAUAAAUGGCAACAUUUCUAUUGAAUCCACCAUUUUGAAGAGGUUGUCAUAGAAAACUCGAACCGUCAGUCGCAGUCAGUCGUGUCGAAACUUCUAAAGCGUUACCGUGCAAAAAUUUCGCUCCGACUUGUAACUGGGAUUUUUCGUGGGGAAAAUGCCUCUGACCAAUGCUGAGAAGCAACGACGCUAUAGGGAAAGAUUAAAAGACAACCCUGAAAAAAAA